Non-coding RNA from Parasteatoda tepidariorum (common house spider), 1122 nucleotides. The record is from RefSeq and is a predicted model, not a curated record. NCBI's taxonomy places the organism in Eukaryota, Metazoa, Arthropoda, Arachnida, Araneae, Theridiidae.
UUUCUAACUUUUUCCAGCAAAUGUCGACUAUCAGCAUGCUCUGAUGCUGAAAGUUGAAUCAGGUUUUUGUUACAAUCCUAGCCUACUCUGACAAAUGUCGACUUUUAAUAAGCGUUGAGAGUAAAUGUUGAGACAAUUUUUCUUAAAUAUGGCUAAUUCUUACUCAUGUCAGCACAUAUCGACAUGAAGCGUGCCCUGAUGGCAAAAAUUAAAUCAGUGUUUUGUUAUAUAUUUUGCUUACUCUGAGAAGGUUCUUUUAAUUGAAUAUCAUUUUUCACUCGCAUUUUCAAGUAUUGACAUUCAACAUGCAUUGAUGGUAAAUGAAAUGUAGAUUUAAAGGUUUUGCUGAAUAUUUCUUAUUUACAUCAGAAAAUUCGACAUUUACAUGCCAUGACAAGGAUGAUAUCGUGACACUCUUCUUCAAAAAAGGUUGGCCACCCCUGUUUUUGAGACACAUAUUAAAAACAUUUCACCGGUUAAUGACUGGAAAAGUGUUCCAGUUACGCACGGUAAUAAUAAUUUUAUGCCAGUAAAGCUAUCAUGACCAUAAAAACACAGGUCUGACGGUAAAUGUUUCCUUGCAAAGAUAUGGCAACUGACUGCGAAUUAACAUCAUACUCAUAAAAAUUUAUCUUCAGUUCAGACUUUGACGCUGUUUUGAAACUCAGGUGACAUAUCUCUCGAAUCAAGACGGACCAUAGAACGAGGCGAAAUAUUAUAGUGCAGCUAUCUGUCGUGGAGUGAGAGAGUUGCAUAUUUAUUGUCCGUGGUCACCAACGUGGAGGGAGUGUGUUUGAGAGAGAACUGUAACUUGGCACCGAUUGAGUUCGAACCAAGAACUUCUGUGACAGCAACCUUAUGGUAUAACCUCCAUAGAAAUGGUAAGGGAGCUGAAAAUUUUAUAUUUUAAUCUUAUAAGUUAACGGCUAACUCUACUAAUUCGUUAAAUUGACGGGGACUGGAUUUUUUUUCUCUAAGAAGAAUAGAUUAAGGACAAGCAUACAAAACGGUGUAAGUACCUUUAUAAGAAACAAAUUCUUACUUAGUGUGAAUUUCGUUAAUAUCACAAUUUCUGAGCAACUUUAACAAAAAAACAUGCAAUAAAACACAGCCUAAAAAUUU